Molecule: ribosomal RNA, 253 nt
Filed under: uncultured bacterium
Lineage: Bacteria
Description: partial 16S ribosomal RNA
Rfam family: Bacterial small subunit ribosomal RNA
Source: RNAcentral
UACGUAGGGUGCGAGCGUUAAUCGGAAUUACUGGGCGUAAAGCGUGCGCAGGCGGUUUUGCAAGCCGGAUGUGAAAUCCCCGGGCUUAACCUGGGAAUGGCAUUUGGGACUGCAAGGCUGGAGUGCGGCAGAGGAGACUGGGAUUCCUGGUGUAGCAGUGAAAUGCGUAGAGAUGUGGAGGAACACCGAUGGCGAAGGCAGCCCCCUGGGCCGACACUGACGCUCAGGCACGAAAGCGUGGGGAGCAAACAGG